Molecule: long non-coding RNA, 3302 nt
Organism: Papaver somniferum (opium poppy)
Lineage: Eukaryota; Viridiplantae; Streptophyta; Magnoliopsida; Ranunculales; Papaveraceae
Exons: 7
Source: RefSeq, a predicted model, not a curated record
CCUGUCUCAUCUGAUGCUCCCCAAAAAGAAGAGGAAGCAAAUCAAAUGAACCCUAGAAUUUUACCAUUAUGAAUUCUGGGUUAGAUUUUCUGUAAGACUAGGAGUCUAAUCUCAAGUUAUACUUGCAAGAUAUUUCUGGUUUGAUGGAAGUUGUGAAGGGUGUAGGGAAAAAUCAGAGGAAAAAGAUAAGAUUAAGAUUAAAGAAAGAGAGAGAGCAAGAGAGAGAGGAGGAAUUUCUGGCUUCUUCUUCUUCUUCUUCAGAUACUGUUUCUGCUAUCUCCGAAGAACAUCUAGAAGAACUAAUGAAUAGAAUCAAAGAAGAUCCAUAUUUGAAACCUAUUGUUGAAGAUAUUGAAAUUGGUGGUCCAAUUGUAAUGAUGAUGUACUUGAAUAAUCCAGAGGUUCUACUGAAGUUGGGGGAGGCUAUGGGUUUUAUAGAUUCAAAUGGAGAAUAUAAAGUAGCGGCUGUGGCUGAUUAUAUAGAAGAUAAAGAACCACCACAUCUCUGGUGUUAGCUACAUUGAGACUACUACCAAUUGCAUGCUGAGUUGAUUAAGGUAAACAAGAAGAUUAUGAUUCAAGACAAGAGAAAAUUUGUUUUGUUUUCUUUUGUUUUUCGGUUCAAAUAGCUCUAAUCCCAAUAAGAUAAAAUUUGUGAUUUCUCCUGUGAAAUUCUUUUGAAAAAAUGCUAGUGUCAGAGAAAUCCUUUAUUUUGAGGUUAGUCAUAUGUGGAAGAAUUUAAACCUUACUAGCUUGGGUCUUUAACUCUCCAUGUAGUCAAUUAUGGAUUCAUCAUGUUUGAGUUUAGAAAAAGUGGAUAACGCAGUGUUGGACGUCGGAUGACUUUGAGGCUUGCAUCACCCUAUUAGCUGGGAUUUGGUGUCUCAGACCUUAUAAUGAUGGGGGUUUGGGUUUAAGAAAUGUGGAUAUCACUAAUAGUGCUGCUAAUUUGAGGCACAUGUGGGACUUGGUGAGUGGUAAAAAACCACUAUAUGGACUGAGUGGAUUCAUAAGAACAUCAUCAAAAAUUAAGAAGCUGAUUCUGAAUUGUUUGUUUAUCAUGUCUGGAGAUUUCCAGACAAGCAGGAUUUUUACAAGUAAAUUCUCUUCAGCAGAUCAAGUGGUUACUCUAUUUCAGAUGAUGUGAGAAGCAGGGUGCUCUCCAUUUCCUGCAAAGUUGAAGAUAACUCCUAUUCUAGGAGCUUUAUGGACAGACUCAUAGUUAGUUGUGAAUUUAUGUUGCCUGUUAUUGAGUUCUGCUCUUGGCUUGCUCCGGAGCCUGAUUUUAUGAUCAACUCUGUUGGUUCAAAGAAGUUUCUUACUGGUGGUUUGGGAGCUGUGUCGAGAACCGGUUCUGGUGGUGUUAUUGCAGCUGCAAUGGGAGGUUUCCCUCAGAUUCUGUUAAUGGUCAUGAAUUACAGGGUGUAGAGCUGGGGUUAAACCUGGCUAUUGUGAGAGGUCAGAUUUGGUGAAGAGUGGAGAGACUGAGAUCAUUUUCUGAGGUCUUGAAGAUUUCCCAUAUCUAUAGGGAAACUAAUAGAGCUGCGAAUCUACUUGCGGGUUACCAUCCUCUUAUCAAAUGGGUAGAUGUGGGAAUAGAUGAGCUCUCUCCUGAGUUAUGUGACAUUAUUAGAGAGGAUAGAGGGGGGAGAUUUACUCCCGUAGUUAGUUGUUUUGCUUUUCUGUAGAGAAAAAGCUAACAGGUUAGCAAACGACAUGCUAUUACGUGCAUAAGCAACUUAUUGAUUAGAAAACUGCAUGACUGGUUGUAUGUUAUCCUGGGUCUUCGGAAACUUUGCACUGGAAUCAUCUUUGCUGAUGCUGCCCAAAAGAAGAGUGGCUGAGUGCGUGUCGUCUUCUAGUGGAGUCAGUUGCAAGUCUAUCUACGAGUGUCUACCACCAACUCCUACCAGGGAAUAUGCUGAUGCUGAGAUUGCAGCUCGUGCUGUCAUGAAAGAUAUCUUGCAGACACCUCCUAUUGAAACGAAGACACCAAAAUUCGCUUUCAUGUUCUUGACUCCAGAUUACCUUUUGAAAAGCUAAGGGAUAAGUACUUCGAUGAAGAGUGGCUGAAUGGGUAUUAUCUUCAGCAAGAGCAUUUCUCUUCUCAUUCCCAAACUGGAAACCCAUGUUGGAGUCCUUUGGAAGCCGCAGUAUGAUCAAAAGUUUGCUUGAGAAGACAAUUUCCAGGAGUUCAUGCAUGGUUGACAAAUAUGCAAUCCUGAUUGUUCAUAUUCACAUGAUAUUGGCACAAAAGAAGACAGUUUUAGCAAAGAUGAUAUAAAUUUGGUGUAUACAAGGACCUUCAAUUUUAUUCUGGUCAUAACUCGGUUAUUGACUGCCAUCCCUGCGCCUCAGCCACAGAUUGAAACUUCUCCUCGUAGUAGCUCCGGUAAAUCUGCUGUGCGUCCAGCUUUGCAGCUUCGUGUUUAUCUCACUUCUCAGGGGAUUACACGUAUCAAAUGGUCGGCAUCCAGCUACAAGUAUGUCUUGUUCGGAUGGAUCUGCCAAUCAAAAACCUAAUGGUUCAUUUUCCUCUAUAGUUGCAAGCUCAACACAGGCAUCUAUGUUGCACAGUGAUGCAGGAUAAAGACCCAUAGUAAACUGAACCAGAUGGCAUGGCAAAGGUUGUGUAUUGUAGGUCCUGCUUCUACUAGUUUGGAUAACCACAUAUCUCGCUGUCCUACAUGUAGUGAGAUGGGAGUCACAACACCACCAUUGGAAAAUCAGGCGUUCAGGGGUAGUGAGAUGGGAAUUAAAAUGCCACUAGAUAAUACACCAGCGUGUUGAACAGAUUCUGUUGCAGAAGGUGGAAGCACCACUGUGAAUGGUACAGCUGAUAAUAUGUGCUCUGGAUUGGCAUCAAUAUGCAUUCGUAAUGAACCUACUCCUGAUGCAGCUCCUAGUCACCAAUCAUUUAGAUAACAUAGACCAGGCUAUGCAACAGUAUCAUUUGGAAGACAUUAUUAUUCUCCAUCCUCACUGCCCUCGGAGAGAACUAUCACUCCAGAUGGUGUGUUGCUUUCAUGCGAGCAAUCUGAUUGGAGUUCGGAGUUACCCUCACAAGUGAUGCCAGAAGUAUACAACCAAGUGAAAGAGGAAGCAUCAGCUUUUGAUGAGCAAAUUUUGAAGUUUUCAGAACUUACACAUCCACCUUGUAUAUCCGUUUAAUUUGUCUAACAGUUCCAGAACCUCAAAUUCAUUGAAUUUGUCCCGUCUUUUUUUAACUUGGUGAUUCUGCAGUAUCAGUAAUUUAACUGUACAUACGAAAGGUAAUGGAGUAUUGCCUCCAUUUGUGGACU